Molecule: ribosomal RNA, 292 nt
Filed under: uncultured bacterium
Lineage: Bacteria
Description: partial 16S ribosomal RNA
Rfam family: Bacterial small subunit ribosomal RNA
Source: RNAcentral
GUGCCAGCAGCCGCGGUAAGACGAGCAUCACAAACGUUAUUCGGAAUUACUGGGCUUAAAGGGUGCGUAGGCGGUGCAGCAAGUCGGGAGUGAAAUCCCACAGCUCAACUGUGGAAUUGCUUUCGAUACUGCUGUGCUUGAGUGAGAUAGAGGUAAGCGGAACUUAGGGUGGAGCGGUGAAAUGCGUUGAUAUCCUAAGGAACACCGGUGGCGAAGGCGGCUUACUGGGUCUCUACUGACGCUGAUGCACGAAAGCCAGGGUAGCGAACGGGAUUAGAAACCCUGGUAGUCC